RNAcentral lists this ribosomal RNA (495 nucleotides) under uncultured bacterium. Its description in RNAcentral is "partial 16S ribosomal RNA". It matches the Rfam family "Bacterial small subunit ribosomal RNA", at positions 28 to 507 of the family's 1533-position model. The record is from RNAcentral.
GAUGAACGCUGGCGGCGUGCCUAAUACAUGCAAGUCGAGCGAACAGAUAAGGAGCUUGCUCCUUUGACGUUAGCGGCGGACGGGUGAGUAACACGUGGGUAACCUACCUAUAAGACUGGAAUAACUCCGGGAAACCGGGGCUAAUGCCGGAUAACAUUUAGAACCGCAUGGUUCUAAAGUGAAAGAUGGUUUUACUAUCACUUAUAGAUGGACCCGCGCCGUAUUAGCUAGUUGGUAAGGUAACGGCUUACCAAGGCAACGAUACGUAGCCGACCUGAGAGGGGGAGCGGCCACACGGGAACUGAGACACGGUCCACUCCUACGGGAGGCAGCAGUAGGGAAUCUUCCGCAAUGGGCGAAAGCCUGACGGAGCAACGCCGCGUGAGUGAUGAAGGUCUUCGGAUCGUAAAACUCUGUUAUUAGGGAAGAACAAAUGUGUAAGUAACUGUGCACGUCUUGACGGUACCUAAUCAGAAAGCCACGGCUAACUACGUG